GGUUAACGGAGCGAAAGCGACGUUCAACCGCAAAAGAAGCAGAGGGGGCUUAGUGGUGGGGUGACUGCGUACCUUUUGUAUAAUGGGUCAGCGACUUAUAUUCUGUAGCAAGGUUAACCGUAUAGGGGAGCCGGAGGGAAACCGAGUCUUAAUUGGGCGUUAAGUUGCAGGGUAUAGACCCGAAACCCGGUGAUCUAGCCAUGGGCAGGUUGAAGGUUGGGUAACACUAACUGGAGGACCGAACCGACUAAUGUUGAAAAAUUAGCGGAUGACCUGUGGCUGGGGGUGAAAGGCCAAUCAAACCGGGAGAUAGCUGGUUCUCCCCGAAAGCUAUUUAGGUAGCGCCUCGUGAAUUCAUCUCCGGGGGUAGAGCACUGUUUCGGCUAGGGGGCCAUCCCGGCUUACCAACCCGAUGCAAACUGCGAAUACCGGAGAAUGUUAUCACGGGAGACACACGGCGGGUGCUAACGUCCGUCGUGAAGAGGGAAACAACCCAGACCGCCAGCUAAGGUCCCAAAGUCAUGGUUAAGUGGGAAACGAUGUGGGAAGGCCCAGACAGCCAGGAUGUUGGCUUAGAAGCAGCCAUCAUUUAAAGAAAGCGUAAUAGCUCACUGGUCGAGUCGGCCUGCGCGGAAGAUGUAACGGGGCUAAACCAUGCACCGAAGCUGCGGCAGCGACGCUGAUGCGUUGUUGGGUAGGGGAGCGUUCUGUAAGCCUGCGAAGGUGGCCUGUGAGGGUUGCUGGAGGUAUCAGA
RNAcentral lists this ribosomal RNA (754 nucleotides) under Salmonella enterica subsp. enterica serovar Brandenburg. Its description in RNAcentral is "partial 23S ribosomal RNA". It matches the Rfam family "Bacterial large subunit ribosomal RNA", at positions 528 to 1286 of the family's 2925-position model. The record is from RNAcentral. Lineage: Bacteria; Pseudomonadati; Pseudomonadota; Gammaproteobacteria; Enterobacterales; Enterobacteriaceae.